GUCCUUGAAUCAAUUUGAGCAUAUCCCCUAGUACAGUGAAUAUCAGUUUUGUUUGCUAGCUACAAGACUGGACAAAACUGAUAUUUCAGUUGAGUUGUGCUGAGCCAACAAGGUAUUGGUGCAUGGUUGCCAUGUGUGUUUGAGCUCACAUCGUGCUGGCACCCUGAGAAUUCUUCAUCGCAAUGAGAUAAACAAGUCAAGUGAACCUGCCCUAGCCCUAUCCUUUUAUUUCAGUGCUGUUCUAGUGAUCCAGCUCUAGUUGUUCCUCUGGUGUCUCUGUGGUCUGUGUUGCAAGCCAAAGCUCUUCUCCCCAGCCACCAAGUUAGCUCUCUCCAAUUCAUCAAGUGCCACUCCAUUAUCUGGUGACCAAAGCAGCCAUCCUUCCACCUCACCGUGGCCAAGGAUCUUCGAGAGGUGUUUCGGCCAUGUUGUGCCUGUUCUCUACUCCUCACAGGAGCUUCGGAACUAGAAUAGCUUCGAUACGGAACAAUGGAAGAGCAACGAAGGUAGCUUCGUCAUAAUAACGCAAGAAGAUGAUGCAAGGAGAAUGUGUCAUCUUAAACACUGAGAGCAAAAGAUAGUAUUGUCCUUGUAUUAUUUGUAAACCCAGUGUGUAAUCUCUAAGGGCAUAAAUAUAAUACCGUACGAAGUUGUACGACUCCCUAUAAAUAGACGAACAGUGCCCUGCAUAAAGUACCUUUUUGGAGGCCCGAAAAAUUGUUGUGUGUAAUCUUCUCUUUGCCUCACCUUCGCUCUAAACCAUUUUUCUAGAGACGAAUGUAUGUUUAUAAACUUAAUAUAUGAAGGAGGAG
Molecule: long non-coding RNA, 812 nt
Filed under: Zea mays
Lineage: Eukaryota; Viridiplantae; Streptophyta; Magnoliopsida; Poales; Poaceae
Description: drought responsive lncRNA
Source: RNAcentral